GACGAACGCUGGCGGCGUGCUUAACACAUGCAAGUCGAACGGAAAGGCCCUGCUUUUGUUGGGUGCUAGAGUGGCGAAGGUGUGUGUAACACGUGAGUAACCCGCCCUUUGGUUGGGGAUAACUUCAGGGAACUGGUGAUAAUACCUGAGAGGAGCGCCUGCUGGAUGGGGGGGGGUGGAAAGUUUCGGCGGUUGGGGAUGGACUCGCGGGUUAUCGGCUUGUUGGGGGGGUAGGGGCUUACCAAGGCUUUGCAGGGUAGGCGGCCUGAGGGGGUGAACGCCGACAAUGCGCCUGCGAGACGGACCAGACUGCUACUGUAGGCAGUAGUGGGGACUAUUGCACAACGGGCGCAAGCCUGAUGAAGCAACGCCGCGGGCGGGAUGAAGGCCUUCGGGUUGUAAACCGCUUUUGCCUGUGACGAAGCGUGAGUGACGGUAAUGGGUAAAGAAGCACCGGCUAACUACGUG
RNAcentral lists this ribosomal RNA (468 nucleotides) under uncultured bacterium. RNAcentral's name for it is "partial 16S ribosomal RNA". It matches the Rfam family "Bacterial small subunit ribosomal RNA", at positions 28 to 507 of the family's 1533-position model. The record is from RNAcentral.